CGGGACGGGUGAGUAAUGUCUGGGAAACUGCCUGAUGGAGGGGGAUAACUACUGGAAACGGUAGCUAAUACCGCAUAACGUCGCAAGACCAAAGAGGGGACCUUCGGGCCUCUUGCCAUCGGAUGUGCCCAGAUGGGAUUAGCUAGUAGGUGGGGCAAUGGCUCACCUAGGCGACGAUCCCUAGCUGGUCUGAGAGGAUGACCAGCCACACUGGAACUGAGACACGGUCCAG
RNAcentral lists this ribosomal RNA (232 nucleotides) under uncultured bacterium. RNAcentral describes it as "partial 16S ribosomal RNA". It matches the Rfam family "Bacterial small subunit ribosomal RNA", at positions 100 to 334 of the family's 1533-position model. The record is from RNAcentral.